Alligator mississippiensis (American alligator) is the source of this 3369-nucleotide long non-coding RNA. RefSeq lists it as uncharacterized. The record is from RefSeq and is a predicted model, not a curated record. The transcript is spliced from 3 exons. NCBI's taxonomy places the organism in Eukaryota, Metazoa, Chordata, Crocodylia, Alligatoridae.
AAUUGCUUUUUGCUUGGAGCUGAGAGACUAAGGAACCUAAGAACAAAUUGUUACAGAGAAGAGCACCUCAGGUUCUCUGUUAAUUUAAGGGAGAAGAGAGACCCAAGUGAGGGAAGACUGCAAGGGAGAAACUGCAGGAGAGCUGGCCCCAGAGGUAAAACCCUUAUUCCACUGUAGACAAUAAGACCCACAGCACCACAACACAUGGGUGCUCUGGGCUCCUGGCUCACCCAGCACUACAGACUGUGCCAUGCCGCCCCACCGUGCACCACCCCCUGGAGCUGGGUCAGGCAGUGGAAGUCAGAGGAUGGAAGAACCCCAAGAUCCUGGCUACUGCUGCAGCAGGAGCAAGGGGUAGCAGUGGCUGAGUGGAAAUCCAGGGAGGUACCAGUUGGACAGCCCCGAUCUAUAUCAUACAUUUAUGUACACUUCUGUUUACAAUGAUGUGAUAUGUACGCACAAAAAAGGGACCAGUGUGCACAAAGCAACAACAAAAAUUCAGCAUACAUAAUACUUCAAAAUAUAAUAUAAUGUAAAAUAAAAAUAUAAAAAUAAAGAGCAGAGACGGAGAGCCAAUGAUUAUGGGGGAAAAAAAGGAGAUUAUGUGUAGACUAUCUCCAUCUCCAUGUCCCCUCCUUGUGUCAACCCAGAUUGUAGAGUGCUGGGAAAGAAUGUUCAAUACCUCUAAUAUAGCACAAAUUUCCCUUGAGCUACAGAAAGUAUUUUAAUUGCAUCAGCCUUUGGGGGAAGAUAUUUAAAAGGGAAAAGUUCAUCUGUCAAAAUACUUGCAAGGUAUUUAUGUAGUAAUUUGUAUGCACUGUCAUUUUACUUCCUUACUUACCUACCCAGCACCCUCAUCAAUAGGGUGAAAAAAAAUCAACUGCUAUUCAAGUUCUCAUCCAAAAUUUUCAGUAAUCCAUACACACUUAUCUCAGGUUAUAAUUGAAUUUUUUAAAGUCCACUAGUAUAGUAUAAACUACAACUUAUUUAAUGUAUGAAAAUUAAUUACAACUCCUAGAAGUAUGUCCUUGAAGCAAAAGUUAAUUUCAUUAAGACCCAGCAAUCAGUAGCUCUGCUUUCUUUAACUAACUAAAUGAAGUACCUAAGGAACUAGAUAAAAUGUACAGUGGAAUCUCAAUAAGGUUCAUGGCAAUAAUCUUGGCACGUGACUGAUUUCAUGACCUAUCACGUGAUUUAAGAAAAAUAUUUCCUUUUACAAACCUUUCAUUAACAUGAUAGGAAUGAAAUAUUCAUUUUCACUUGCUCUCAGAAUAUUUCAAGUAACCCCUACUUUUAAAUAAAGACUAAAUACAUAAAUAAAAUAAAUAUAAAAUAAAUAAAAAUGUAGAAGCUCAUGUUAUAGAGUCCAGCUCUAACAAACCAAACGAUCGGUCAUUAUUUUCUAGCUGUAUGUGUAUAAUCCUGACUGCAAAAGGCUUAAGCAAACCACCCAGCAUCUGACACACCUUAGUGGCCAGACCUACCUGCCCACACUCCCCAGUAUCCCUUUCUCUCCUAAUUCUCACCUGCCACAACUUGAUCUUUGGGUCUUUCUGGAGGUUGCCUCCAGAGGCCAGGGUAACCACAUCUUAGAUGCCACUCCAUGUUGCACAACCCUCUGAACUUCUCUAUCCCAAACCCUAGAGGGUGGAUUUCCUCUUUAAGACAGCCACAGUUGUGCCUUAGGGGCAAUAAUCAUGACUCCAGCUGCCCCCAUAGAAAUACCCUCACAGAUGUCACAGAUGUCAGUCAGUGUUUAGAGAGGGAGUGGGGAUCCUUGGCCCUGGCUCUACCCUCAGCCCCUCAAGCCUCAAACCUUUGUUGAGGUUUCCACCCGACUUCAGCCCCUUUCCUCAAGCUAGGCCUCCCCCAGCCCAAGGUCUACUGCUCUAGCUCCUGUCUCCUGCUUUCAGCCCCGUCUCCUGCUCCUGCUUAUUCAGGGUUCCUGUGUCAUGCACUCUGGUCCAGCCCUCAGGGUCCCUGACCCCAAGCCAGGCUGUCCUCACUGUUUCCAUCCUCAGCCCUCUGGUGCUUGGCCCCGAGCUGGGCUGCUUGCUCUUUCAGCCCUCUGGUCCCUGACCCAAGCUAGGCUGCUUGAUACCAAGUUCUCUACCAGGCACCCCUCCAUAGGGUCCACGCCUCCCCCAUAGCCAAAAUCCAGUCCUCCAGUACUAAACAAACAUAAACAUCAACAGAAAAGAAAUAUCCAUACACUGCUUCCACAAAGCCCUUCCCUGCUCUGGGUCAAUACCCUACCCCCAAAUUAUACUUCCCCAUACUGGGCUCACUCCCUCUCCUGGGUAGCUUGACUGUCCAUGGACUUGCACCCUAAAGUCAGCUUCCCUAAGGAAACUCCUCUCCCUGUAACAUGCAGACUCUAACUGCAUACUCCAGCUCAGGCCUGAGGCUUAUAUGCCUUGGAGCCCUGCUCCCUUUCUGUCAUGUGGCUCAUACAGCCAUGCUCAGGAGUUUCCCCUGUUUAAUGAAGGGCCAGCCUGUGCUCCUGCUACUACAGCUUGGCCUGCUGCCUUCCCUUAAGUAACAGGAGCCUUCUGGCUUCCUAUUACAAUGACCAAAUAGAUGUACAAUAAUCUAGGCCAGGAGGAAGCCCAUUGAAAAUGGCCCAAUUUUUUUCCAGGAAAAAAAAAAGCUAAAUUUCUCUUUCUUUGGUCUUUGGUGAAAGUUUCAGAGCAGCUUCCCCUUUCAACCUGAAAUCAGUGAGGUAGAGCCAGGGUUUUUUCUUAGCAUAAGGUAUCCAGGUUGUAGUCAUAUUGGUCUAGAGGAAAAGGCAAUCCUACUACGAGUCCUGAUUGCCUUUUCUUAACAUAAUGCAUUUGUGUAUUAUACCUACACACACCAUGCCAUGAUCUCUUAAAUAGUGUGACAAAUUAGUGUCACAAACUGCACACAGAGAAGUCCUUCUUGCCCAAGCAGCAGCCAAAGCACUGAGCAACAGCUGUGUUGGGCCUCUGCCUGUCUCUUGAACACUCACUCAUCUAAAUGACUAUCCCACAGGUCCCCCCUUCCUGCUCCUGCCUGGGAGAUUUUCAUCUGAGAAACCUAGCUCACAGACCUUCAUGUGAAACAACCUGGGCCCCAAAGCUUAGCCUUAGCAUCAACACUUCUUUUUCCAGUUAUUUUGAAAUAUUAGAAAAAAAUGAGAAAAUAAACUCCCACGCAAAGGGAGCAUCUACAUGUGCCAUUAGGGGGCAUCAAUAAACUUCAGAGUUUAUUGCUUCACUGUUUAUUGCUCCCAGGAAGCUUCCGGGAAUGCAUCUGUGCAUGCACCUGGACCGCAGCACAUUGAGCCGAGUUGCAGCAACCCGAGCUGGCAGGAGAUCCAGGGACUACCCCCCCACCGCCAGCCUG